CAAGUCGAACGCGAAAGCCCCGCAAGGGGUAAGUAGAGUGGCAAACGGGUGAGUAACACGUGGGUGACCUACCUUCGAGUGGGGGAUAACGUCCCGAAAGGGACGCUAAUACCGCAUGACAUCCUGCGUUUGGAAACGCGGAGAUCAAAGCCGGGGAUCGCAAGACCUGGCGCUUGAAGAGGGGCCCGCGCCUGAUUAGCUAGUUGGUGGGGUAACGGCUCACCAAGGCAACGAUCAGUAUCCGGCCUGAGAGGGCGGACGGACACACUGGGACUGAGACACGGCCCAGACUCCUACGGGAGGCAGCAGUGGGGAAUUGUUCGCAAUGGGCGCAAGCCUGACGACGCAACGCCGCGUGGAGGACGAAGAUCUUCGGGUCGUAAACUCCUGUCGAGCGGGAAGAACGCUUCCCGGAUGAAUAAUCCGGGGAAUUGACGGUACCGCUAAAGGAAGCCCCGGCUAACUCCGUGCCAGCAGCCGCGGUAAUACGGGGGGGGCAAGCGUUGUUCGGAAUUACUGGGCGUAAAGGGCUCGUAGGCGGCCAACUAAGUCGGAUGUGAAAUCCCCAGGCUUAACCUGGGAACUGCAUCCGAUACUGGAUGGCUUGAAUCCGGGAGAGGGAUGCAGAAUUCCAGGUGUAGCGGUGAAAUGCGUAGAUAUCUGGAGGAAUACCGGUGGCGAAGGCGGCAUCCUGGACCGGCAUUGACGCUGAUGAGCGAAAGCUAGGGGAGCAAACGGGAUUAGAUACCCCGGUAGUCCUAGCCCUAAACGAUGAAUGCUUGGUGUGGCGGGUAUCGAUCCCUGCCGUGCCGAAGCUAACGCAUUAAGCAUUCCGCCUGGGGAGUACGGUCCCCA
RNAcentral lists this ribosomal RNA (855 nucleotides) under uncultured Acidobacteriota bacterium. RNAcentral's name for it is "bacterial SSU rRNA". It matches the Rfam family "Bacterial small subunit ribosomal RNA", at positions 58 to 891 of the family's 1533-position model. The record is from RNAcentral. Lineage: Bacteria; Pseudomonadati; Acidobacteriota.